GUCCCUGUAGCACAAUGGAUAGCGUGUCGGAUAUCUAAUUCGAAGGUUGUGGGUUCGAAUCCUACCUGAGAUG
Non-coding RNA from Trichonephila clavipes, 73 nucleotides. The record is from the annotation of a GenBank genome assembly. Lineage: Eukaryota; Metazoa; Arthropoda; Arachnida; Araneae; Nephilidae.